Long non-coding RNA from Phyllostomus hastatus (greater spear-nosed bat), 898 nucleotides. RefSeq lists it as uncharacterized. NCBI's taxonomy places the organism in Eukaryota, Metazoa, Chordata, Mammalia, Chiroptera, Phyllostomidae. The record is from RefSeq and is a predicted model, not a curated record. The transcript has 3 exons.
CGAGGAGAGAGCGGGGAGACCGCGUUUAGAGCAUCAGUGGCGGCUGCAUCCGCGGCCCCGCGCUCUACGGGCGGCGGGCUGCGAGAUGCCCAGGCCCCCCUCCUGCCCCGAAAGAAAGGAAAAAAGCAAGGUGUAGCUGAUUAGCAAGUUAAUUAUUUCAGUACCCCAAGGGUUCCAGUGUGGUGUCUGGACUUGUGAAGAUGAAGACCCCAGCCUCCUCAGCUGCUGAGAUUUCCAUGUCUCUCUGGCCAUUCACACAUUAGCCCACAUGGUAGGCACUGGCCAGCACACAGUUUGAAAGGGUAACUAUGGGCCAGGUUGUUCUUAUUUGGGCUCAAGAAAAGAUAUAGUUUCCCCUUAAGAAAGAGAUGCAAGGAACCACUUCUAUGAAUCUUUUAAUGAAGGAUUUACUACUAAUUUGAUCAGUUCAUUGCUCUUUUUACUCAUUCUGAAUGAAUAACUUCAUCAGUCAACCCAAGGGUCUGCAGAACCUAUAAAAAUGCCUCCUUUGGUCUUCCUGCUUUAACACAUGCUGGGGCUCCGGCCUGCCUCUGACAGACUGGGGAGGAGCAGAAACAUUCCAGAGACCAGGUCUUAGAGUGUUAUCUCUUCCCCACCCUAAAUCCUCACCCUCCAUUUUAUCUCUCAAAUACAAAUGCAGGGACCUCCUAGGGAAGUGUGAAGGGAUAGGUUUUAAUCUGGGCUGGGGAAGGAAGGGGAAUGAGUUGAACCUAAAGGAAGAUGGGGGCAGUUGGAAUUUUUAACACCCCUCUGUUAAUACUUUUCCUGUGUCGUGUAUUAUAUCUUAUAAAGUACGCAUUUGUCACGGUAAUCGACAGUGUAUAUAUGGCAUUUGCCAAAUGCUGCUUGGCCAAAACAGUGUUAAAUAAAAUUGUAA